Molecule: long non-coding RNA, 1194 nt
Filed under: Ananas comosus (pineapple)
Lineage: Eukaryota; Viridiplantae; Streptophyta; Magnoliopsida; Poales; Bromeliaceae
Description: long non-coding RNA (ACOM_LNC024384)
Source: RNAcentral
UUUAAAUUUAUAUUUUUAUAUAUUAAUUUUAUAUUUUAAAAUUCAUAAUUAUAUAUAUUUUUAAAUUUAUAUUUAUAUUUUUUAAAUUUUAAAUUUCAUAAUUAUUUUAAAUUUUAAAAUUUUAUAUUAUUUUUUAAAUUAAAAUAUCAAAUUUUAAAUUUUGUACAAUUUUGAAAUUUAAAAUUUUCAAUUUUAAUUAAAAUUUAAAUUUAGAUUUUAAAUUAUUUUAAAAUAAAAUUUAAUAAAAAUAUUAAUUUAUGCAAACAUCAAACAAAUUUGCUAAACAGCUUUUCAAAAUCAAUUCAGAAAAAUCACUUUUAUCUAUACUCCGCCAAAUGUUUUACAGCUUUUAACCAAAAUCACUUCUCUAAACCAAAAUCACUUUUUCAGAAGCUAGGCCAAACAAGCCUUAUAACUUAGAGGCGGUUAUAACAACCAUCUCUACAAGCGCUUUUUUUAUAGUGUAGGAGUAGUCUACUUGCAAUCCUUUUUCUUUUUUCGCAUUUACUAUCUUUCUAGUAGUAGUCUGUAUGGUAGAUUUUUCUUUGAAAUUGUACGUCAUACUGGCGCACCGUCUUUUGUAAACAUUUUCCAAUUCUUAGCAAUACAAGCAUCAUUCAGCUCUUCAGUCGAACCAGAAAAUCCUAUGCAAUCUUUGUACUCAGCUGAUCCAGCCGAACCGAGAAAAUAUUGUGUAAUAUUGAACUCAGCUGAUCCGAUCCCUCAUCAGCCAAAUCGCUUGAUUCGACAAUGGGCGCACACUUCGAGAGUCACUUACAGCAACCGCUUUACCUCUUCGCACGCUUCCCGAAGGAGGGUUUUGAUCGAGUCAGUGGUCAAAGAAUUCGGCUCGCAGCAGGACCAUUUCUAAUCACUAAAAAAUCAUGUCGACAAAAAUUUCUAACGGAUUGCUGUUAAGCUCUAUUUUCACUGCUCGGAUAUCCGAAUAACACGAAACUUUAAAUUAUGCCUCAGAAAGUUAGUACAGAUAACUUUCAAGGUUUCAUAAUUUUUCGCUACUAAAUUUUCUGCUAAAAUACAAGCCCUCUUCCUUAUAAAAAAUUUCAAAUCUUCUCUUUUCAUUUCGAUUUCACCACAAAUUAUUUUCAAAUUAUCUUUUACUUCGUUAAGUCCAAUCAAAAUAGUAUCUCAUACUAUUUUUAUUUGAACUUGCUUAUAUAAUAAAAAUCUGAA